Molecule: long non-coding RNA, 1698 nt
Organism: Lycium ferocissimum
Lineage: Eukaryota; Viridiplantae; Streptophyta; Magnoliopsida; Solanales; Solanaceae
Exons: 5
Source: RefSeq, a predicted model, not a curated record
CUUUCUGUUUCCUUUUUCCUUUAUCAUUAAGUUGAAGGUUGAGUAGAUUUCUGCUAAUUAGAGAUAUACCCAUUUUAAAUUUUGAAUAUUUUGUGGGUUAUUAUAGGUGAGGGGCUGCAUAUUUGGCAAUGGGGAAGUUCAAGGACGCACUCUAGGAUUUUCAAUAGGAAAGUUGAAGAUAGAAAAUCCUUUCAUGGAGGUUUUCAUUUCCAUACUUUUGAAUUGCUACAUACACUUUUAUCAGGUAAUAUAAAACUUCUUAUAUGUUGCUGUGUUUGGACUAGCAAAGGCUAACUACUAAGCUGAGCAUUAUAGCUUGGUCUCAUUAGCAACUGAUGGAACAUCCAUUCCUAUAAUUGUUCGAGUGAAAUUGAGUAAUUGAUGGAAAAACUAGUUAAGUUGAUGAGUUAGAGUUGACCACGGUUAACGCCGGGUUAGGAUGACCUCGUGUCAAUGUUUGAGAAGUUCCAACAUGUUAAUAUGAUGAUUUUUAACUUGUACACAAGUUUUGGUGAGGUUCCAAAGAGUUUCAGAUGCGUUUGGGUUUUGUCGCGCUGGUAUUCAAUGUUUUCGCCGGAGGUCUGUGGAUAGAAACGGCUCCACAUUGAGCAUCUGACCUUUGUUUUGAGUGACGUCUGAACCAUUAGAUCCAUAUCGAAAUUACGAAGCUAUAGGAAAAAGAAUCGACCCGUUUGGCCACCGUAUGAGGGAGUUAUGCCCAUUUUAGUACGGACUGUUCCAGCUGGCCGCUAGAAGCGGCUAGAGGCCGCUAUAGCGGUACCGCUGUCGCGGUCUGGAGGUCGCCGCAGCGGCCAAUGGGGCCAGAAUCUCUUAUUUUAAUAUCCCAACUUCGAACCCUUAUUCCCAAGACCCCAAAGUCAGUUUUCAAGAGAGAAAGAGGCAAAAUUCAUUCCAUUCAUUGGUGAAAACAUCUUGGAGGGUAAGUUCCCAUCUUUAUUUGUUCAUUUUUUCCUUUCUUCUUCAAGUUCCAUGAUUAUUUUAAGAGGUCCAUCAAUGGUGGGUGAAAAUCCUAGAAUAGUAAACCCUUAAAUAAUUGGUGGGUUGUUGAUUUUGUUGUUGAUUAAUAAUCUAGGAGUAUAUAUUAUCACUUUCUAGGAAAGGAAUUUGAUUUCUUAUGGUUGAAAUUGCAUAUUGAGACUUAUGGUUCUAAUAAAAAUGGAAUCUUUGUUCUAAAAUCUGUUGGAAAGGGUAAAAUUGAUUAGAAACCCUUGAAUUGAAGGUUAAUGAUUGUAGAGAUAGAAAUUAUGACAAAUUCACCAUUAAAGGAUGGUUUCAUCCAUUGAAGAGGGUAUAAGUAAGUGGGUCUUCUUCCCCCCAAAUUGUCAUUUUUGUUUGAAUACAUGGAUUGUUGCUUACUUAGAAUCAUAUUGUUAGACUUUGAUCGUUAUGAGGCGCUUCAGAAAUAGAAGGCUCGUGUGGAGUAGUUCGUGGCUCCUGUUCUGCAUUUCAGGUAGGUUACGACUUACUUUAGUUAGACUUUGGUUAGCGAAAUGUAUAUAUUGUGUAGAAUUGAUGGGAGAAAGCAUGAUUAGGUCUUCAGACAUAGUGUUUGGUUGGAUAUUAGCUAGGUUGGUAUGACUUCUGAUUUUGUGGGCUCAUCGCCAUUACUUAUGUACUGAAAUAUGAGGUGUAGUUAUUUUCAUACUGUGGCGAUUCGGGAUGGAUUUCUAUUAGGUU